GACGAACGCUGGCGGCGUGCUUAACACAUGCAAGUCGAACGGAAAGGCCCCUUUGGGGGUACUCGAGUGGCGAACGGGUGAGUAACACGUGAGUAACCUGCCCUUGACUUCGGGAUAACUUCAGGAAACUGGGGCUAAUACCGGAUAGGAAUCCUUGCUGCAUGGUGGGGGUUGGAAAGCUUCGGCGGUUUUGGAUGGACUCGCGGCUUAUCAGCUUGUUGGUGGGGUAGUGGCUUACCAAGGCUUUGACGGGUAGCCGGCCUGAGAGGGCGACCGGCCACAUUGGGACUGAGAUACGGCCCAGACUCCUACGGGAGGCAGCAGUGGGGAAUAUUGCACAAGGGGCGGAAGCCUGAUGCAGCAACGCCGCGUGCGGGAGGACGGCCUUCGGGUUGGAAACCGCUUUCAGCAGGGGCGAAGCUUGUGGUGACGGUACCUGCAGAAGAAGCACCGGCUAACUACGUG
This 465-nucleotide ribosomal RNA is filed under the name uncultured bacterium. RNAcentral's name for it is "partial 16S ribosomal RNA". It matches the Rfam family "Bacterial small subunit ribosomal RNA", at positions 28 to 507 of the family's 1533-position model. The record is from RNAcentral.